Molecule: ribosomal RNA, 686 nt
Filed under: uncultured bacterium
Lineage: Bacteria
Description: bacterial SSU rRNA
Rfam family: Bacterial small subunit ribosomal RNA (bases 1-591)
Source: RNAcentral
CCUACGGGAGGCAGCAGUGGGGAAUUUUGGACAAUGGGCGCAAGCCUGAUCCAGCCAUGCCGCGUGCGGGAAGAAGGCCUUCGGGUUGUAAACCGCUUUUGUCAGGGAAGAAAAGGUUCUGGCUAAUACCUGGGACUCAUGACGGUACCUGAAGAAUAAGCACCGGCUAACUACGUGCCAGCAGCCGCGGUAAUACGUAGGGUGCAAGCGUUAAUCGGAAUUACUGGGCGUAAAGCGUGCGCAGGCGGUUAUGCAAGACAGAGGUGAAAUCCCCGGGCUCAACCUGGGAACUGCCUUUGUGACUGCAUAGCUAGAGUACGGUAGAGGGGGAUGGAAUUCCGCGUGUAGCAGUGAAAUGCGUAGAUAUGCGGAGGAACACCGAUGGCGAAGGCAAUCCCCUGGACCUGUACUGACGCUCAUGCACGAAGACGUGGGAGGACGAACGACGAGUAGUAGUACCGUACCGUACGGUACGUACCGACCCGUAACCCGUAACGUACGUACGUACUACGUUAGGUUUGGGUUAGGGGUUUACGGUUUCGUUCUACGUAACGUAACGUACGUACGUACGUCGUAGUAGUACGUACCGUCGGGUGGGUACGGGUCCGGCCGACGGUAGGUAACGUAACGAACGAAAGUAAGUAGGCGUGAGAGAGACGACGGACGACGACGACGGAGGGAGGAGG